UGAAGGGUCCAGCACAGAGCAGGGAUGUGGGGAGCGCGCCGUAUGCACCAGACAUGAGUGGUCCCAGGGAACGCUCUGGGAAGGACUCAAAUACACAGAUUUGUUUUCAUGCACUUAGCAGAGAGCUCCUCCCUGGAUGGCUUCCGGAUGGAGGCGGGGCAGAUUGGACGGAGGAAUGAGCUGAAGGAAGAGGAUAUGGCAGGGGUGAAGGCCAGCUCCCGGAGGCCUCAGUGCUGA
Molecule: long non-coding RNA, 237 nt
Filed under: Ursus maritimus (polar bear)
Lineage: Eukaryota; Metazoa; Chordata; Mammalia; Carnivora; Ursidae
Description: lncRNA (ENSUMAG00000003447.1)
Source: RNAcentral